CGGGAGACACACGGCGGGUGCUAACGUCCGUCGUGAAGAGGGAAACAACCCAGACCGCCAGCUAAGGUCCCAAAGUCAUGGUUAAGUGGGAAACGAUGUGGGAAGGCCCAGACAGCCAGGAUGUUGGCUUAGAAGCAGCCAUCAUUUAAAGAAAGCGUAAUAGCUCACUGGUCGAGUCGGCCUGCGCGGAAGAUGUAACGGGGCUAAACCAUGCACCGAAGCUGCGGCAGCGACACUCAGGUGUUGUUGGGUAGGGGAGCGUUCUGUAAGCCUGUGAAGGUGGCCUGUGAGGGUUGCUGGAGGUAUCAGAAGUGCGAAUGCUGACAUAAGUAACGAUAAAGCGGGUGAAAAGCCCGCUCGCCGGAAGACCAAGGGUUCCUGUCCAACGUUAAUCGGGGCAGGGUGAGUCGACCCCUAAGGCGAGGCCGAAAGGCGUAGUCGAUGGGAAACGGGUUAAUAUUCCCGUACUUGGUGUUACUGCGAAGGGGGGACGGAGAAGGCUAUGUUGGCCGGGCGACGGUUGU
Molecule: ribosomal RNA, 524 nt
Filed under: Salmonella enterica subsp. enterica serovar Oranienburg
Lineage: Bacteria; Pseudomonadati; Pseudomonadota; Gammaproteobacteria; Enterobacterales; Enterobacteriaceae
Description: bacterial LSU rRNA
Rfam family: Bacterial large subunit ribosomal RNA
Source: RNAcentral